UACGGGGGGGGCAAGCGUUGUUCGGAAUUACUGGGCGUAAAGGGCGCGUAGGCGGUUUGCUAAGUUGAAUGUGAAAACUCUGGGCUUAACCCAGAGCCUGCAUUCAAUACUGGCAGGCUAGAGUUCUGGAGGGGAUAGCGGAAUUCCUGGUGUAGCGGUGAAAUGCGUAGAUAUCAGGAGGAACACCCGUGGCGAAGGCGGCUCUCUGGCCUGUAACUGACGCUGAGGCGCGAAAGCGUGGGGAGCAAACAGG
RNAcentral lists this ribosomal RNA (253 nucleotides) under uncultured bacterium. RNAcentral describes it as "partial 16S ribosomal RNA". It matches the Rfam family "Bacterial small subunit ribosomal RNA", at positions 524 to 776 of the family's 1533-position model. The record is from RNAcentral.